RNAcentral lists this long non-coding RNA (1233 nucleotides) under Sorghum bicolor (sorghum). RNAcentral describes it as "long non-coding RNA (SBIC_LNC002248)". Lineage: Eukaryota; Viridiplantae; Streptophyta; Magnoliopsida; Poales; Poaceae. The record is from RNAcentral.
GAUUUAGAUUCAGAUACUACAUGCAUCAUCCAUAAGUAAUCAAGAAAAUUUGGCCUUACCUCGUCUAUAUGACUAUGCAAUGUAAAUUUGAGUGUCCAGAGACAUUAUUUUGCAUGAAACAAAAGAAGCUUGACAAUUGUGCAAAUACAUAGUUCAACAGAAGAAAGAUUAAUUUAGCACUGCUCCUGCACAUGAACGAGUUUGCAAUGCAUGAUUUCACAAAUACAGUAAAAAAGUUUCUUUGAUUGGCUCUGCUCCUGCACACUGGCUAGCGCCAUCAGGGACUGCUCAAAACCCACCAUAGCACUUAUGGAGCAACUCCAUCACUGCAAAUGAAUGCAGUGCAAUGUACUGCCCAAGCUUCAAGAUUGAGGAGACGUCCAGUGUACAAGCACUGCCAGAUCGAAGCAUCAACGAAAUGCAGUGAUGGUGCGGCAUGCGGUCCCUUCCUCCUGUCUCCGCAGAUCAGUGGGGUGACACGUUGAUGUGGCUACUGAAUGCUCUGCACUGCAGUAGAGGAAAGGUUCCAAGAGCUCGCUAUGCCAGCAAGUGGCUAAACGCCUGGCAGCUGCACCAUCAUUUGGGAGUUGAGCAACGCAGUUCAUAGGGCGGACACGUUGUGCACACACAUUGCUUUUUGCCACUCAAAGUCGCUCAGCUCAGCCUGUUGCAGCAAUCACCGAGUCCUCUCCUCCUGACGUCUCUCAAGCCCCAAGCUUAUGGUGUCCGGUGGACUUCUGUAUACACAUAUAUGAAGGCUGCCGAAACUCUCGCUUUAGCUCAUUUGUUAUAUACACUUGCAUACAUAGGUAUGGUCCGGGUAGGAAAGAGAUAUCUGGGUGUUGGCUUAUAUAUAGACUGCAAUUGGAGUUAGGGUGGUUAUGGGUUGAUGGUGCGCUCUCUUGGCAGCAUUUACAGCUAGUUUAUUUGGUGCUCCAUGAGCUGAAACGCUGAAUGAGAUAAAUGUGAUUGUGAAUACGAUUAGCCCCUUUAAUAGACUCAAGCCUUGAUUUCCCUGAUUUAUAUCUCGAAAGGAGCAGAUAUAUGUCCCUAUACCUCAUAUGUAGCUGAUUAAUAAAACAGAUAUGUUCAAGCUCAACAGAAAGCGAUUGAUAUUAAUCAGAGUCUGAGCGAAAAAAAUUAUAUGCAUAUACAUGUAGAUCUCACAUAUAACUACCGGAGACACGCUCUAUGCUGAGUGUCAAACGCUUUGUCUAGUGUUUUAUAUCGGGC